GCCUGCAAAGAGCCCACCUUGGUUUACAACCUUGUCAGGUCUCCCAAGCUAAGUAGGGAUGGGCUGGCUCUGGACUUGGAUGGGAGACCUAGGAAUACCCAGACACUCCAGGAA
This is a ribosomal RNA of Chelonoidis abingdonii (Abingdon island giant tortoise), 114 nucleotides long. The record is from Ensembl. NCBI's taxonomy places the organism in Eukaryota, Metazoa, Chordata, Testudines, Testudinidae.